Molecule: ribosomal RNA, 468 nt
Filed under: uncultured bacterium
Lineage: Bacteria
Description: partial 16S ribosomal RNA
Rfam family: Bacterial small subunit ribosomal RNA
Source: RNAcentral
GACGAACGCUGGCGGCGUGCUUAACACAUGCAAGUCGAACGGAAAGGCCCUGCUUUUGUGGGGUGCUCGAGUGGCGAACGGGUGAGUAACACGUGAGUAACCUGCACUUGACUUUGGGAUAACUUCAGGAAACUGGGGCUAAUACCGGAUAGGAGCUACUGCUGCAUGGUGGGGGUUGGAAAGUUUCGGCGGUUGGGGAUGGACUAGAGGCUUAUCCGCUUGUUGGUGGAGUAGUGGCUUACCAAGGUUUCGACGGGUAGCCGGCCUGAGAGGGUGACCGGCGACAUGGGUACUAAGAGACGGCCCAGACUCCUACGGGAGGCAGCGGUGGAGAAUCUUGCGCAAUAGGCGGAAGCCUGAUGCGGCGACGCCGCGAGCGGGAUGCCGUCCUACGAGUUGUGAACCGCUUUCGCCGGUGACGAAGCGUGAGUGACGGUAAUGGGUAAAGAAGCACCGGCUAACUACGUG